UGUUGGACGGCGGUCGGGCGGGA
This 23-nucleotide microRNA is filed under the name Euprymna scolopes. Its description in RNAcentral is "Esc-Novel-65_5p (mature (guide))". Lineage: Eukaryota; Metazoa; Mollusca; Cephalopoda; Sepiida; Sepiolidae. The record is from RNAcentral.